This 206-nucleotide long non-coding RNA is filed under the name Apteryx rowi (Okarito brown kiwi). RNAcentral's name for it is "lncRNA (ENSARWG00000018807.1)". Lineage: Eukaryota; Metazoa; Chordata; Aves; Apterygiformes; Apterygidae. The record is from RNAcentral.
CCCGGGGGAUGUUGGGGGCUGCGUGUGCCCGGGAGCUGCGUCGGCUGUGCGGGAGCUGCAGGAACUAGUAAAUUCAGCUAAUAAGCCCUGUUGAGAUCCAGCAGACUCUUCACAGGCACUUUAAUCCGCGUUUGAACUCCACAAAGUGCCUCAGCUCAUUUUGCAUCCACAGAUAUUAACAUUUUAGAUGAUGAGAAAACUUGCCC